GGUUGCUUGGCAUGUCCAAACUUUUGCCUGGUACUAUAUAUACCACAGACUGACACACUACAUGACGUGUUUGCAAAUUGAUCACUAACAGAAAUCGCCCAGGUGAACGAUGGAACAACACUGCAAGUGAAGUUCAACUGAAAUAAGGGAAACAACAUCGGAGAUAUAUUUCUGUACAGUAGAAAGUCACCUGUAACGUCGAGCUAACAGGAUGCUCCUGAGAAUUGCUUGCAUGAUAAUGGCCCUACUGGAGUGGAGUGAGUCACAAGUGCAUGCAGUCGUACACCGAAGCUGAUUUAAUGACCCAGAGACGUGCGUACAGUACA
Long non-coding RNA from Brienomyrus brachyistius, 326 nucleotides. RefSeq lists it as uncharacterized. The transcript has 3 exons. NCBI's taxonomy places the organism in Eukaryota, Metazoa, Chordata, Actinopteri, Osteoglossiformes, Mormyridae. The record is from RefSeq and is a predicted model, not a curated record.